GAUGAACGCUGGCGGCGCGCCUAAUACAUGCAAGUCGAGCGAUGAGGCCCCUUCGGGGGUACAUCAGCGGCGGACGGGUGAGUAACACGUAGGUGACCUGCCCCGAAGACGGGGACAACCACUGGAAACGGUGGCUAAUACCCGAUGUGCUCGGUAAUUCGGUUUAUCGAGUAAAGCUCCGGCGCUUCGGGAUGGACCUGCGGCCUAUCAGCUAGUUGGUGGGGUAACGGCCCACCAAGGCUAAGACGGGUAGGGGGCGUGAGAGCGCGAUCCCCCACACUGGCACUGAGACACGGGCCAGACUCCUACGGGAGGCAGCAGUCGGGGAUAUUGCACAAUCGGCGAAAGCCGGAUGCAGCGACGCCGCGUGGGCGAUGAAGGCCUUCGGGUUGUAAAGCCCUUUUCUGGGGGAAGAGAAAGGACGUACC
RNAcentral lists this ribosomal RNA (428 nucleotides) under uncultured bacterium. RNAcentral's name for it is "bacterial SSU rRNA". It matches the Rfam family "Bacterial small subunit ribosomal RNA", at positions 28 to 461 of the family's 1533-position model. The record is from RNAcentral.